ACUUCAUACCCAUUUUUGGUCUUGUUUUCUCCCCCAGCCUUCAUGUAGCAGCAGCCAUCGUAUUAAGAGGGACCAUCAUCUUAUUAGACGGGAUUUUAGAGAUGGUUCUACCUCAUUGGAGGUUAUAGUUUUCGAUCGUGGUUUCUCUGUUUAAACCUGGACGAUUCCCGAUGCGCAUUCUUUAAUCCGGGCCACAUUAAUGGUUUAAAAUGCAAAAGCAAUUCGAAUGUUAUGAAUGUGUGAUAGAACAUAUCAAAGAGUUGAAAUCUCAAUUGACAACCUAUCAUUUGUAAGUCUUCAUCCAGAGAAUACAAAGCCCCUUCAGAUUUCAUACAAAAUUGUCGCCUUCAAUUCUUCUUCCAAAACCCCUUGUGUGUAAAAUGUCUAAACUUGGGAGAGGGAAACGUGGGCCUGCGACUUUCUCAAAGAAAGACUGUGACUAUACAAUUGAGUUUAAUCAUGAUAAUCAACCGAUUGGCAAGAAUGCGACUGAUUAUACUUCAUGGUUAGGAGUGAAGCUAAAAGCCGAAUUUUCUUACCAUAUUCUGCAAGAUAAAUUUGAAGAACAAAAAUAGGAACAUUUAUGGAAGGAUAUUUAGGAACUAUGGAAAGUUAAUAGCAUUGCGCCCAAAGAAGCGACACUUAAAAAUGCAAAAAAGCGUCAUACAAAUUGGCGAAGUUAUCUUACAACAAGCUAUGUAAGGAAGAAUAAAACUCCUUUCAAGACAUAUAAGAAUCUCGAAUCACAACAUUCGGAAAACUUCGUUGCCCAAAGGAGUAGCAAGGAUUUUAUGAAAAAAAGUGAAAACACGACAAAAAGUGCCAAGAAGAAUGUAUUCCAUACUUGCUUAGGACGUUCCGAGUAUGCGGCUUUGGAGCCUCUUGUUCCGCUCAUAUGGUCUCAACUUGUGCCGGUGUAUAAACACCUCAAAACUAUUCAAGACUGCCGCUCUAAAAGGUGGAUUUCAGCUAGAGCAAAACAAGAAAGCUAAGAAGUAUGAACUUGCAAAAGAUGCGCGAGUAGAGUCUAAUAAACUAUCCGAAUACGAAAUAGAAAUGAAGGCAGAUGACAGUUAUUUUUCUGGGGUGGAGGAUCCACUAAGUAGGCUACUUGGAUCGGAACAUGGAGGGCGAUUACGUAUUGUUUCUAAUAUUAUAGGACGCACAAAGGCUAAGGGAGGAUUAUUUCAGGGUGCUAGACAACAAAGUCAAACAGACGUGUCUACCACUCAAAGGUUAGGGGUGGUUUGUGAUUAUAGUGGGGUGGGCUCGAGCCCUAGUAUCUGUGACGCGAGUGAUGUUGGUGGAUCCCAUAUUCAUUAUCCACCUAUAUAGGAGCAUGUUGAAUGUGAAUUGUUAUUCCCACUGCAGAACAAAAAAUACAAAAUGCCUUGUCAAAGAUAGAAAAUGAGCGGCCUGAAAUCAUUAGAUCAUUGGCUGCACGAUUAAAAGAUACCUAUAAUGGCAAGAUGAGCCUUGAGUUUAACGUGCUUGAGGAGAUGUACCCCAAAACCCCGUUCGACAUCCAAGUUGAAUCCAUUGAAUAUGAGGGGAUGCUACAAGUUUUGGCUAACGGCUGGCUUGAGGCUAGCUUUUUUACAUUGGUGUCAAGUAUAUUUAUAUGACCUAGUAUCUAAAAAGAUAGCUCCCCAAGAACCUAAAGUUAGCUACUUCAAUAUCCACAAAAUAACCGGGAAAGAGUGCGAGACAAAUUUUGCAAGUGUAAAAGAACACUUGCUAAGUGUCUACAAACUGCAUAAGGGCACAAAAUUUUUUCUUGCACCAUUUUUUUCAGUGCCUAUUAGGUUUUGUUUAUCGUUUCUCUUAAGGAACGAAGUGUUUGGAUUUUGGAUUCAACUUCGGUUAAGGCUAAAAAGAAUAAAGAUGAUUAUCCUCUUUCAAAAGCAAUAGAAUCUUGUUUUGGAAGAGGACUUACUUGGGCCAUGGUUCAAUGUAUGCAACAAGACGGGUCUUGGGAGUGUGGAUACAUGGUCAUUUGGUAUAUGUUCAAGUUUGUUUUAUGGAAGCGAUUUCGUUUUCCAAACAAUUUGGACCGAGGCAACAACUGCCAUACAAGAGGAAAUCGACAAGUUGGUUGUAAACAUCAUGACACGGUUUUUUAAUAAUGUAUUGAACAUUGAUAGCACCUAGGUUAGGUUGGUAUGGUUAUUUGAACAAGUUUUGUAAACUUUGCAAGUUAUUAUAUAAUCAAAAGGUGUUUUGAAUUUGGUUUUAUGAA
This is a long non-coding RNA of Helianthus annuus (common sunflower), 2239 nucleotides long. RefSeq lists it as uncharacterized. The transcript has 13 exons. The record is from RefSeq and is a predicted model, not a curated record. Lineage: Eukaryota; Viridiplantae; Streptophyta; Magnoliopsida; Asterales; Asteraceae.